GUCUAACCACCGGGAUGUUCAUAACCCUUUGUUGUCCGACUCUGUUGCCUCCGGGGCGACCCUGCCUUCGGGCGGGGGCUCCGGGUGGACACUUCAAACUCUUGCGUAACUUUGCAGUCUGAGUAAACUUAAUUAAUAAAUUAAAACUUUUAACAACGGAUCUCUUGGUUCUGGCAUCGAUGAAGAACGCAGCGAAAUGCGAUAAGUAAUGUGAAUUGCAGAAUUCAGUGAAUCAUCGAAUCUUUGAACGCACAUUGCGCCCCCUGGUAUUCCGGGGGGCAUGCCUGUUCGAGCGUCAUUUCACCACUCAAGCCUCGCUUGGUAUUGGGCAUCGCGGUCCGCCGCGUGCCUCAAAUCGACCGGCUGGGUCUUCUGUCCCCUAAGCGUUGUGGAAACUAUUCGCUAAAGGGUGUUCGGGAGGCUACGCCGUAAAACAACCCCAUUUCUAAGGUUGACCUCGGAUCAGGUAGGGAUACCCGCUGAACUUAAGCAUAUCAAUAAGCGGAGGAA
RNAcentral lists this ribosomal RNA (510 nucleotides) under Cladosporium tenuissimum. Its description in RNAcentral is "eukaryotic LSU rRNA". The stretch from base 145 to 298 matches the Rfam family "5.8S ribosomal RNA". The record is from RNAcentral. Lineage: Eukaryota; Fungi; Ascomycota; Dothideomycetes; Cladosporiales; Cladosporiaceae.